GCGCACUUAGCUCAAAUGGUAAGAGCAUCACUCUUUGAAAGUUGAGGUUGUGGGUUCAAUUCCCACAGUGCACA
Molecule: transfer RNA, 74 nt
Filed under: Phakopsora pachyrhizi
Lineage: Eukaryota; Fungi; Basidiomycota; Pucciniomycetes; Pucciniales; Phakopsoraceae
Description: tRNA-Gln
Rfam family: tRNA
About the family: Transfer RNA (tRNA) molecules are approximately 80 nucleotides in length. Their secondary structure includes four short double-helical elements and three loops (D, anti-codon, and T loops).
Source: RNAcentral